RNAcentral lists this ribosomal RNA (468 nucleotides) under uncultured bacterium. Its description in RNAcentral is "partial 16S ribosomal RNA". It matches the Rfam family "Bacterial small subunit ribosomal RNA", at positions 28 to 507 of the family's 1533-position model. The record is from RNAcentral.
GAUGAACGCUGGCGGCGUGCCUAACACAUGCAAGUCGAACGGAAAGGCCAGUGCUUGCACUGGUACUCGAGUGGCGAACGGGUGAGUAACACGUGGGUGAUCUGCCCUGCACUUCGGGAUAAGCCUGGGAAACUGGGUCUAAUACCGGAUAGGACAAUGGUUUGGAUGCCGUUGUGGAAAGUUUUUUCGGUGUGGGAUGAGCUCGCGGCCUAUCAGCUUGUUGGUGGGGUAAUGGCCUACCAAGGCGUCGACGGGUAGCCGGCCUGAGAGGGUGUACGGCCACAUUGGGACUGAGAUACGGCCCAGACUCCGACGGGAGGCAGCAGUGGGGAAUAUUGCACAAUGGGCGCAAGCCUGAUGCAGCGACGCCGCGUGGGGGAUGACGGCCUUCGGGUUGUAAACUCCUUUCGCUAGGGACGAAGCGUAUUUGUGACGGUACCUGGAGAAGAAGCACCGGCUAACUACGUG